This is a non-coding RNA of Mya arenaria, 66 nucleotides long. The record is from the annotation of a RefSeq genome assembly. Lineage: Eukaryota; Metazoa; Mollusca; Bivalvia; Myida; Myidae.
AGAUGUUGUGCCAGAGUUUAUGGGUUACCUUGAUGUGGUAAUAACGGGGGUAUCCUCCAAUGUCUU